CCUCAAAUCAGGUAGGAUUACCCGCUGAACUUAAGCAUAUCAAUAAGCGGAGGAAAAGAAACUAACAAGGAUUCCCUUAGUAACUGCGAGUGAAGAGGGAAGAGCUCAAAUUUAAAAUCUGGCAUCCCAUCGGAUGUCCGAGUUGUAAGUUAGAGAAGUGCUAUCCGCGCUGGCCUGUGCAAAAGUCCCUUGGAAAAGGGCAUCAUAGAGGGUGACAAUCCCGUCUUUGGCACAGACUACCAGGGCUUUUGUGAUGCGCUCUCGAUGAGUCGGGUUGUUUGGGAAUGCAGCUCCAAAUGGGUGGUAAAUUCCAUCUAAAGCUAAAUAUUGGCGAGAAACCGAUAGCGCACAAGUACCGUGAGGGAAAGAUGAAAAGAACUUUGAAAAGAGAGUCAAACAGUACGUGAAAUUGUUGAAAGGGAAACGCUUGAAGUCAGUCGCGUUCUUUGGAAAUCAACCUCACCUUGGUGGGGCGCACUUUCCAUUUGGACGGGUCAGCAUCAAUUUUGACCAUCAGAGAAAGACCUUGGGAAAGUGACAUCUCUUAUGAUGUGUUAUAGACCUAGGCUCACAUGUGAUGGUUGGGAUUGAGGAACUCGGAGGUAUCAACUGAUGCCUUUCAAGGAUG
RNAcentral lists this ribosomal RNA (628 nucleotides) under uncultured Basidiomycota. Its description in RNAcentral is "LSU rRNA". It matches the Rfam family "Eukaryotic large subunit ribosomal RNA", at positions 1 to 625 of the family's 3401-position model. The record is from RNAcentral. Lineage: Eukaryota; Fungi; Basidiomycota.